UGAGGAAUAUUGGUCAAUGGGCGAGAGCCUGAACCAGCCAAGUAGCGUGCAGGAUGACGGCCCUAUGGGUUGUAAACUGCUUUUAUGUGGGGAUAAAGUGCGUGACGUGUCAUGCAUUGCAGGUACCACAUGAAUAAGGACCGGCUAAUUCCGUGCCAGCAGCCGCGGUAAUACGGAAGGUCCGGGCGUUAUCCGGAUUUAUUGGGUUUAAAGGGAGCGUAGGCUGUCUAUUAAGCGUGUUGUGAAACUUACCGGCUCAACCGGUGGCUUGCAGCGCGAACUGGUCGACUUGAGUAUGCAGGAAGUAGGCGGAAUUCAUGGUGUAGCGGUGAAAUGCUUAGAUAUCAUGACGAACUCCGAUUGCGCAGGCAGCUUACUGUAGCAUAACUGACGCUGAUGCUCGAAAGUGCGGGUAUCAAACAGG
This 424-nucleotide ribosomal RNA is filed under the name Fusobacteriota bacterium. Its description in RNAcentral is "Fusobacteria bacterium partial 16S ribosomal RNA". It matches the Rfam family "Bacterial small subunit ribosomal RNA", at positions 355 to 776 of the family's 1533-position model. The record is from RNAcentral. Lineage: Bacteria; Fusobacteriati; Fusobacteriota.